This 934-nucleotide ribosomal RNA is filed under the name bacterium 2F. RNAcentral describes it as "partial 16S ribosomal RNA". The record is from RNAcentral.
GAGAGGAGGUACCUGCAACCCAAGCCCGCAGGGGAGUGGCGGACGGGUGAGUAACACGUGCGUAACAUACCCUUUAGGUCUGGAACAACGCCGCGGAAACUGCGCGCUCAUACUCGGAUACGCCCUGACCGGGUGAAUGGCCUCUCUGGCAAAGAGAUUGAUCCCCGCCUUGAACUUUGCCUUGUUUGGCUGGAGGAUAUCUGGUGUCACACAUGCGCGCACAACUCGUCUUUGCUGUGUCCUGUAAAGACGCCGGACCAAUCCUACAGUUAGGUGUGCUGAACACACCGCGCCUACAGGCUCCUCACUGUGAGGUAUGCAAACGAGGCUAACACUUUCCUCCAUGGUGUGACGCCCCCUGAGUCUGUCUUUUGUCCGCGCUUCACCCAUCGACCGCUGCCCACAUGAAUGAAUCACGCUCCUUAUCUCUCCGUCUUACAACUACUUGUCUUGCUAGUUUUGCAGACAAAACCUCCCUUGCUAUAACCCUCCUGUCCGACCAACCCAGCUCCCUAUAUUCACCUGAAGGGCAUCUCGGACGCUCUCCUCUAUCAUCUAGUGAGCUCAACAAAGGCCCGCCGCGUAAGGACCUAUGUUUUUUCCUCGCAGCAGUGGAGUAGCAUAAUUUCUCUAUAUCCAUCUCCCUUACCACCUCCGUACUCUUGAUUUCCCUUGCCCCACCCCUGCCUAUAUUACCCACUUUCUUCGAACAUCUCUCAACCACUCUUUCGUCUCUUCUCUCACCUCCCCCUCCCUACUCUCUGUAUUAAAUCUUACAAACACCCCCCUAAUAAUCAUUAUCCCCCUCUCCUAAACCACCAUCCCUAGAGGUUUUCAUCCACGAUCGCCUCACUCCCUCUGUCCACCCUAUAAUCAAAUUUGCUCGGAUCCACUCCUUCCCACUAACCAUCGUAGAGUCUCCUCUAUUUUUAUC